ACAGAGUGGAGACGCAUGCUUGGUGGAAUGAUCACAGCAGAACUGAGGGUUAAUUUGAAAAAAUAAGGGGUCAGGGAGGAGGCCGGCCAAGAUGUUUUGGAGCAUAAUUGUGGUAUUAGGGCAGCUCAUAAAAUAAGAGAGCUUCCAGAGGUGCUGUGGUCGGGAUGCGGGCCACAUUCAUGGAAAGAGGUUGAAUGCAUUUUGAAAAACUAUUUGAAAAUUGGAUUGACACCUGAAACUAACACAACAUGUAUACCUAUGGG
This is a long non-coding RNA of Eubalaena glacialis (North Atlantic right whale), 263 nucleotides long. RefSeq lists it as uncharacterized. The transcript is spliced from 3 exons. Lineage: Eukaryota; Metazoa; Chordata; Mammalia; Artiodactyla; Balaenidae. The record is from RefSeq and is a predicted model, not a curated record.